This 487-nucleotide long non-coding RNA is filed under the name Monodelphis domestica (gray short-tailed opossum). RNAcentral's name for it is "lncRNA (ENSMODG00000043199.1)". Lineage: Eukaryota; Metazoa; Chordata; Mammalia; Didelphimorphia; Didelphidae. The record is from RNAcentral.
GAAGGGGUAACACCUGCUCCAUCAAAUUCCUGUAACCUGCCUAGUUUCAUGGAUGAAACGAGGAGAUUUGGGCUUGGAAGAUACCUAGGAGGUUUCCCUAUAGUGCUGUGGACAAUUUGGCUGUGACAAUCUGGCUAUGGCAAUUUGACUAAGGGUAGUGUGAAGACUGGAUUUGGCUCUCCCCUGAUUGUUACAAUGAAGAGAUUGAAUGGCCUCAAUUGUACCAUCAGGAAAACAAUAAGCAUGAAAUUUCCUUUCCAAAUACAUCCUAAUUAAACAAAGAGACAAAGAAACAAAAGAACCCAUGGAAAUUGGUUGUCACUGGUGUGUAUAUUGGAAGUGAUCCCAAAGGUGGUGUAAUCAGCAGUGAGUUCUUUUGAGCCCAAACCCAAUGGAGGAAAGGUAAUUCUCAAGACUAAACAAUUCAUUCUCUCAACUGUGUGUCAUUUACAAAUAGGAAAUAAAUGUCUAAUGGUGUAAGUAAACA